GCGGUUUAAUCGGACUCAACGCCGGAAAUCUCACCGGAURNCGACAGCUGUAUGAUAGUCGGGCUGAAGACUCUACUUGACUAGCUGAGAGGAGGUGCAUGGCCGUCGUCAGUUCGUACUGUGAAGCAUCCUGUUAAGUCAGGCAACGAGCGAGACCCACGCCAACAGUUGCCAGCUCGUCCUCCGGGAUGGUGGGGACACUGUUGGGACCGCCUCUGCUAAAGAGGAGGAAGGAAUGGGCAACGGUAGGUCAGCAUGCCCCGAAUUAUCCGGGCUACACGCGGGCUACAAUGGGUGGGACAAUGGGUAUCGACMCCGAAAGGUGAAGGCAAUCUCCUAAACCCAUCCUUAGUUCGGAUUGUGGGCUGCAACUCGCCCNCNUGAANCUGGAAUCUGUANUAANUCGUGUCUCANCAUGGC
Molecule: ribosomal RNA, 420 nt
Filed under: uncultured methanogenic archaeon
Lineage: Archaea; Methanobacteriati; Methanobacteriota
Description: partial 16S ribosomal RNA
Rfam family: Archaeal small subunit ribosomal RNA
Source: RNAcentral